Molecule: unclassified non-coding RNA, 302 nt
Filed under: uncultured Pleosporales
Lineage: Eukaryota; Fungi; Ascomycota; Dothideomycetes; Pleosporales
Description: sequence contains ITS1
Rfam family: 5.8S ribosomal RNA (bases 1-105)
Source: RNAcentral
GAAAUGCGAUAAGUAGUGUGAAUUGCAGAAUUCAGUGAAUCAUCGAAUCUUUGAACGCACAUUGCGCCCUUUGGUAUUCCUUAGGGCAUGCCUGUUCGAGCGUCAUUUACAAAUUCAAGCUCAGCUUGGUGAUGGGUGUCUGUCUCGCCUUUGUGCGUGGACUCGCCUCAAAUGCAGUUGGCAGCUUGUUCCUCGGCUCUAAACGCAGCAGAUUUGCGUUGAGCGUCGUGCGGACGGGCUCUCCAGGUAAGCAAACCCCCAAAAUUGACCUCGGAUCAGGUAGGGAUACCCGCUGAACUUAA